UGCAGCCUUGGCCUUCCUUCCUUUAGUUCAAAACUUUCGGUUCUGUGCAUUUUAUAUGGCUUCCCCGUCAAAUCUGCUCUUGGUUGUUUGCUAUAUCUUUGCAGAGGGUAACUCACUAACUUGAACAGGCUCAUUGCUGCAUUGGUAGCACUUUUAGUAUCUGGAGUGUAUAAUAUAGAUUCAUUUUAGUUGCAUCGGUACCUGAUGUCUAUGAGAGUGAAAGCAACGACAGGGCUGCCAUCCUUAAUCUUACUUUUGUCUCCUAUUCUUCCAUGCAGCCUCCCCUAAUAAUCUGUUGCGUUGUUUAAAAGGGAGUUUUAUGACUAAUUUUCGUAGUUUUUGACUGGGAUAGUGUAAACUGUGAAAGGCAAAUAGUAAAUUGAGUAA
This is a long non-coding RNA of Erigeron canadensis, 387 nucleotides long. RefSeq lists it as uncharacterized. The record is from RefSeq and is a predicted model, not a curated record. The transcript is spliced from 2 exons. Lineage: Eukaryota; Viridiplantae; Streptophyta; Magnoliopsida; Asterales; Asteraceae.